AGCGAACGCUGGCGGCAGGCCUAACACAUGCAAGUCGAACGAAGUCUUCGGACUUAGUGGCGGACGGGUGAGUAACACGUGGGAACGUACCUUUUGGUUCGGAAUAACUGAGGGAAACUUCAGCUAAUACCGGAUAAGCUCUUCGGAGGAAAGAUUUAUCGCCAUUAGAGCGGCCCGCGUUGGAUAGGUAGUUGGUGUGGUAAAGGCGCACCAAGCCUACGAUCCAUAGCUGGUCUGAGAGGAUGAUCAGCCACACUGGGACUGAGACACGGCCCAGACUCCUACGGGAGGCAGCAGUGGGGAAUCUUGCGCAAUGGUCGAAAGACUGACGCAGCCAUGCCGCGUGAAUGAUGAAGGUCUUAGGAUUGUAAAAUUCUUUUAGCAGGGACGAUAAUGACGGUACCCGCAGAAAAAGCCCCGGCUAACUUCGUGCCAGCAGCCGCCGUAA
Molecule: ribosomal RNA, 448 nt
Filed under: uncultured bacterium
Lineage: Bacteria
Description: partial 16S ribosomal RNA
Rfam family: Bacterial small subunit ribosomal RNA
Source: RNAcentral